RNAcentral lists this long non-coding RNA (800 nucleotides) under Trifolium pratense (red clover). RNAcentral's name for it is "long non-coding RNA (TPRA_LNC010491)". The record is from RNAcentral. Lineage: Eukaryota; Viridiplantae; Streptophyta; Magnoliopsida; Fabales; Fabaceae.
GAUCCAAUUAAAAACGGUAUACCAAUACAAAACAAUAGAAAAAACAGUUUCAUGCAUCAAUAUACCAAUUUCUUUUUUUUAAUGGCUAAUAAGAUAUUAUAUAAAAAAAGGAGAAAUAUACAACUGAGUACAACUCAGGUCUAAGAGAAGCACAAAGCAACUACAAUAGCCAAAUGCAAAAGAAAAGAAAGAAAAAAGAUAUAGAGAAAAAUACAUGCUAGGAAAAACCAUCCAAACAACCAGAAGCACGAAAGUCGAAAACCAAACACCACCACAAAACGCUAUAAGUUUCAACAUAAGAUGAGUUCCACCUCCCAGUCAUAGAAGGAGAGCGGCGCCAGACUUCUUACAAAGGAAACAUAUGAUAGAAAAGAUAUUUUAUGUUUAUGAUAUCCCUGAAUGAAGGUGGACAUUGACAAUAUAUUUGGUUAAUUGUAGUUACAUCACAAGUUUGAUGAUGAAGUAGUAACACUAAUACUAUUAGUAUUACUAUUACUACUACCACCAUAAUUUGAAGGAAGCAUAAUAAGAAUGAUUUCAUCCUCUCUACUCUCUGACUUAUGCUGAUUGCUGAAAUUAAAACAUAUAUGUAUCUUUUAGUUGAGUCCAUCUACCCAACCAUUAUCAAAGACUAGUUGUAAGUAAGGACACACAUGUCUUUUUCUAUGUCAAAGUCUUUAUGAACUAUUAUUAUUCCACAUAUAAAAACAAGGAUUUCUUUCUCUACACUUAAUUGGUGCUUAAAUUGUCUUUCCAUUUAGAACCAUACAAUACACCUAUACAAGAUUAUUAUAUAUCCC